GCUGGGCGAGGUGGUGCAUGCCUGUAGUCCCAGCUACUAGGGAGGCUGAGGCUGGAGGCUCGCUUGAGCCCAGGAGUUCUGGACUGUAGUGCGCUAUUCUGAUCGAGUGUCCACACUAAGUUCGCCAUCAAUAUGGUGACCUCCCGGGAGUGGAGGACCACCAGGUUGCCUAAGAGGGGUGAACCGGCACAAGUAGGAAACAGAGCAGGUCAAAACUCCCAUGGCUGAUCAGUAGUGGGAUCGAGCCUGUUAAUAGCCACUGUACUCCAGCCUGGGCAACACAGCGAGACCCUGUCUCU
RNAcentral lists this signal recognition particle RNA (299 nucleotides) under Aotus nancymaae (Ma's night monkey). Its description in RNAcentral is "Metazoan signal recognition particle RNA (ENSANAG00000008126.1)". It matches the Rfam family "Metazoan signal recognition particle RNA". Rfam says of the family: The signal recognition particle (SRP) is a universally conserved ribonucleoprotein. The record is from RNAcentral. Lineage: Eukaryota; Metazoa; Chordata; Mammalia; Primates; Aotidae.